GGGGGGGGUCCUGGUGCUGCCCCCCCCCCCCCUCAAAUGGGGGUUUUGGGGUGCAGGUCGCCAGCGGGCCCCUGGAGCCCACCAGGAGCUUGUGCCGGGGGUGUGCGUGUCCCCAAGGGUCCCCCCCUUUUAGGGUGGGACCAACCCGGGGGAGGUUCAGGGACGGUCCCCUCCCUCCCUCCGCACCCUGCUCAGGGCAGCAGGCGAAAAGCCCCGGCCAGCAAAGCACCGCGAGGGGCACCGGGACUCAGCAGCAUGGGGGUGCUGGGCACCGUGCGCCCAUCUCCCAGCGACAAAAGCUUCCCCAGCACCAGCUCCGUGUUGCCUUGACCCCAAAAUCCUCUUGCGAAGGACCCUUGCUGCCCCUUCCAGCCCCGGCAGGUCCGACCCCGAGGCGUUCCCCGGGCGGCACGGCUGGGUUUGUUGCUCCACCACCGGGACGGGGCGAAGGCUCCAGCCAGAUAGCUCAGGAGAUUAGGAGUCCUAGAAAGCAGCGGCCCUGCCCCAGGCGGGAUCAGCAGCGUCUGAGCCCUCCCCGCAGAUGUUUGUCUGCAAACCCUGGGGCGGCAGAGUCCCGGCCACCCUCCUGCCCCUGCCCCACGUGCUGUGACCCUGCCGGGGGGGACAGCAGGUCCCAAACAGCACCGGCCGUGUGCCCUCCCGCCCGGCUCUUGCCUUGCUGCCGCUUAUCUCUGCUGGGAGAUCGGCGAGGCAGCCCGCUGCCUUGUCUGGAAGCAGGGGAUCUGCUCCCUGGCUCUUAGGGCAUCGGCCCUUUAGGGUCCGGGCUCACCGUUCCCAGCAGCUGGGGGUACCCCCGUGGCCUAAAGAAGCAUCGACAGCAGCAUUUUGAACACUGGCUCGCUGAGGGCGCUUUGGGAAGGUCCCACCUGAGCGCACGGGCGCUGCUUCCCGUUGUCCCUCGCACCCGCUGGUGGCUGGCGCUCUGCCUGGGGACAAGGCUGCUGCAGGGCCCUGGGGUCCCCAGCCUGGGGUGACAGAAGCUGACGUCGGUGUACGGGACCCCGUUCUGGGGACCCAGCAGAUGGCACUGCCGCCUCAUCCAGACGAGCUGGGGACACAGCUGCUGCCCGUGGUGACAUCCCCGGGGACGCAGCCUCCCGGCCACCCGCUCCAGGGCACGCCUGGCCCCGCUGCUGCUGAGACAAGCGGGGUCCUUCCCCCUUCCCGAAGCGGGGUGGCCCGUCCUGCCCCCUGCUCCUCUUGGGGGGAGGAAGAGCAGCAGGAAAGGAGGCAACCUCCUCGUCCUCGUGCUCGAUGCCGGGCAGAAGCAGCCGAGCAGUUUCAUGCACGCCCGCUCAUCGGCACGUUCGUGACAAUUUUCCGUGGUUCUUUUUCAAAUGUUGUGUGAAGCCUCCCUCGGGCACGCACCCGCGUGUGCACCGGGACCAGCGUCACCGGCGUGGAUGGAGAGAUGGAGAUGUGCACGGGGAGAGGGGGGAAUGGCUGCGGGAGCAGGGAAGCAUCUAGGGAAGUGCUCGGGGAGGCAGAGGGGAAGCAGAGCUGCCCGUUACCUUGCGAGCACAAAGAGCAGGCAAGGGACCCAAUCUGUUGGAGAUGACAGCGAGGCCAGGACCAGCGUCUGAAUUAGCAUGAAGUGUUGCCAUUGUGUGAGGCACAAUGAGGACCAUAUGUCAGGGCCGGGGCUGGCAGCCGGGGACAGCAGAGGUUCGGGAGCCGAGGUGGGGCUCGAGCUUCCCUAACCCGAUUCCCACCUCCGGGCUGGAUGGGGUGGGAUGGAGACGUCCCCGGUGAGACCUGGAGGUGCUGGGAGCAGAGCUGGGGGCUCCAGUUCUCCAUCAGCUGCUCCUGCACCUCCCCACCUUUUCCUGCUGCCGGUGCGGGGGCUCUGCAGCCUCCCCGCGUCCUUCCCCCGCUCCCUCCCCAUCUUUAUUAUUUCCCCUUUGACGCAUCUCCGCUGAGCCGAGCUGCAGCCGAGGCCAAUUGAUUAUAUGAAGAAAUUUGGAGCAAGUCCGUGAACAGCUGCAACCUGCCCCCAGGGAUGCGCGGGAUCGGCGCAGACAAAGGAGAGGAGCCGCAAACUUGCUUCCCCGCACGGCGCGGGGUGGGCCGAGGAAGCGGGGAGAGCACCGGGGGCUCGCGGGGACAAGGGGGACCGGGGACAGGGUGGGGAUACGUUGGGAAGGGGACCGAGGGGGCUCUGCUGGGCAGAGGGGCACGGGCGAGUGACGGGUGGCUUUGGAGCCGGGGCUGCGCUGAUUUCCCAGGGGGGUGAAGGAGGAUUUAUUGGGCGCGUUCGGAGAUGCUGGUGCCUGGACCACGUGUCCUCAGCCCUCUGCUGUCACCAGAGGGACGGCACCGCUCGCGGGCUGCUUGUCCUGGCUAAAACAGUGGCUGUGGUGCCCAAGAUGGGCUCGGGUAACUCUUAAGGACUAGAAGGAAGCUUUCCAGCCUGGCUGAAGCAGCGAUCCAGACGAGGACGUUCAGCAUAAGCCCUGUGGCUUUGUUCCUUCCCCAUCUCCAGGAGGAACAUCACCGGGGUGCCCGUUCCCUGCCCGGAUUCAUUGCUGCACCCCACCCUGCAAGCACCCGUGUGCUCGCUGCCUGCAGAGCUGGGGAAAAGCCCAGGACUCGGCGCGAGCCCCAGCCCAGCCAGGACGAUGCUUCCCGGUCCUGAGGUCUUGCUGCCACCGCCUCCGGCCACAGGCGUGGGGAAUCCCACAGCUGCCGGGAGGAGAUGGUCAAAAGCAAGGUUAGAAAGAAAGAAAAAGGGAAGCCGGGCACUCCGAGUUCAAGAUCUCUCUUUUGCUGUUGGUUUAAUUCAUUUCCCCCUCCCUGACUUCCUCGUGAACUCAUAAAUAAUAAAUCCUUGCACAGUCUGAACA
This is a long non-coding RNA of Anser cygnoides (Swan goose), 2864 nucleotides long. NCBI's taxonomy places the organism in Eukaryota, Metazoa, Chordata, Aves, Anseriformes, Anatidae. The record is from Ensembl.